UACGUGAGGCGGAGCAAAACACAAAACACAGUCUCAGUUCAGAUUGUAGGCUGAAACUCGCCUAUAUGAAGUCGGAAUUGCUAGUAAUCGCGGAUCAGCAUGCCGCGGUGAAUACGUUCCCGGGCCUUGUACACACCGCCCGUCACACCAUGAGAGUCGAUAACACCCGAAGCCUGUAGUCUAACAGCAAUGAGGACGCAGUCGAAGGUGGGAUUGAUAAUUAGGGUGAAGUCGUAACAAGGUAUC
RNAcentral lists this ribosomal RNA (246 nucleotides) under uncultured bacterium. RNAcentral's name for it is "partial 16S ribosomal RNA". It matches the Rfam family "Bacterial small subunit ribosomal RNA", at positions 1254 to 1500 of the family's 1533-position model. The record is from RNAcentral.